GAGCCCGCACAAGCAGUGGAGUAUGUGGUUUAAUUCGACGCAACGCGAAGAACCUUACCAGGAUUUGACAUCCAGAGAACCCGGCGUAAUGGCUGGGGUGCCCCUUCGGGGGAAUUCUGAGACAGGUGGUGCAUGGUUGUCGUCAGCUCGUGUCGUGAGAUGUUGGGUUAAGUCCCGCAACGAGCGCAACCCUUACUGUCAGUUGCUACGCAAGAGCACUCUGACGGGACUGCCGUUGACAAAACGGAGGAAGGUGGGGAUGACGUCAAAUCAUCAUGCCCCUUACAUUCUGGGCUACACACGUACUACAAUGGCGAAAACAAAGGGGAGCGAAGCCGCGAGGUGGAGCAAAUCCCAUAAAAAUCGUCCCAGUUCAGAUCGCAGGCUGCAACCCGCCUGCGUGAAGUUGGAAUUGCUAGUAAUCGCGGAUCAGCAUGCCGCGGUGAAUACGUUCCCGGGCUUU
RNAcentral lists this ribosomal RNA (463 nucleotides) under uncultured bacterium. RNAcentral describes it as "bacterial SSU rRNA". It matches the Rfam family "Bacterial small subunit ribosomal RNA", at positions 917 to 1382 of the family's 1533-position model. The record is from RNAcentral.